Molecule: ribosomal RNA, 274 nt
Filed under: uncultured bacterium
Lineage: Bacteria
Description: partial 16S ribosomal RNA
Rfam family: Bacterial small subunit ribosomal RNA
Source: RNAcentral
AUACGGAGGGAGCGAGCGUUAAUCGGAAUUACUGGGCGUAAAGCGCGCGUAGGCGGUUUAGUAAGUCGGAUGUGAAAGCCCUGGGCUCAACCCAGGAAUUGCAUUCGAUACUGCUUGACUAGAGUAUGGUAGAGGGAAGUGGAAUUUCCGGUGUAGCGGUGAAAUGCGUAGAUAUCGGAAGGAACACCAGUGGCGAAGGCGACUUCCUGGGCCAAUACUGACGCUGAGGUGCGAAAGCGUGGGGAGCAAACAGGAUUAGAAACCCGAGUAGUCC